Molecule: small nuclear RNA, 19 nt
Filed under: Arabidopsis thaliana (thale cress)
Lineage: Eukaryota; Viridiplantae; Streptophyta; Magnoliopsida; Brassicales; Brassicaceae
Description: snRNA_12630
Source: RNAcentral
CGAUAGUAAUUCAACCUAG